AUCAGACCUCCCAUAGGCCCAUGAGGUAGAUUUGGUAUUAAGCGGAUUCCUAAUAAUUCUGUUUCCUGGCAAGCUCCUGACAUCCUGCAGCAUAAUGCAAAUGCAGCUGGCUACCCGGGUCAUAGCUCCGACUAACCCAUCACGCUCACUGAUGUAUGACUUCACCUCUCUGAAUGUGUUCUCCAUAUCAGUCUUCCCACGAGGAUCCCAUACCUCAGCAGCUUAUUCAUUCAGUUACAGGACUCCACAAGGCUCUGGAAAUACAAACAUGAAAGGAGCACAGUCUAUGCUCUUUGGAGUCUGCGAGAAGAAAUGAUCAUCUGUCCUGACUCUGAAGGCCUUAGUUUCCUUGGUUGGAGCUGUUUCAACAUCUUGAAAUGAAACGACUAAUUAAAGUGUUUUUGUGUUUGGCUCAGAGUCUUUCUUUUUCUCUGGCUGGAGUUCUGUCUUUGGUUGCA
RNAcentral lists this long non-coding RNA (458 nucleotides) under Vulpes vulpes (red fox). RNAcentral's name for it is "lncRNA (ENSVVUG00000026550.1)". Lineage: Eukaryota; Metazoa; Chordata; Mammalia; Carnivora; Canidae. The record is from RNAcentral.